RNAcentral lists this ribosomal RNA (789 nucleotides) under uncultured Bacillota bacterium. Its description in RNAcentral is "bacterial SSU rRNA". It matches the Rfam family "Bacterial small subunit ribosomal RNA", at positions 1 to 799 of the family's 1533-position model. Lineage: Bacteria; Bacillati; Bacillota. The record is from RNAcentral.
AGGAGAGUUUGAUCCUGGCUCAGGAUGAACGCUGGCGGCGUGCUUAAUACAUGCAAGUCGAACGAAGAUGUUUCGCCGAAGUUUACUUCAUUGAGAUAUCUUAGUGGCGGACGGGUGAGUAACGCGUGGGUAACCUGCCUUACACAGGGGGAUAACAGUUAGAAAUGACUGCUAAUACCGCAUAAGCGCACAUUAUCGCAUGAUAGAGUGUGAAAAGAUUUAUCGGUGUAAGAUGGACCCGCGUCUGAUUAGCUAGUUGGUGAGGUAACGGCCCACCAAGGCGACGAUCAGUAGCCGGCCUGAGAGGGUGAACGGCCACAUUGGGACUGAGACACGGCCCAAACUCCUACGGGAGGCAGCAGUAGGGAAUAUUGGACAAUGGGGGAAACCCUGAUCCAGCGACGCCGCGUGAGUGAAGAAGUAUUUCGGUACGUAAAGCUCUAUCAGCAGGGAAGAAAAUGACGGUACCUGACUAAGAAGCACCGGCUAAAUACGUGCCAGCAGCCGCGGUAAUACGUAUGGUGCAAGCGUUAUUCGGAUUUACUGGGUGUAAAGGGAGCGUAGACGGCAUAGCAAGUCUGAAGUGAAAUGCGGGGGCUCAACCCCUGAACUGCUUUGGAAACUGUUAAGCUAGAGUGUCGGAGAGGUUAGUGGAAUUCCUAGUGUAGCGGUGAAAUGCGUAGAUAUUAGGAGGAACACCGGUGGCGAAGGCGGCUAACUGGACGAUAACUGACGUUGAGGCUCGAAAGCGUGGGGAGCAAACAGGAUUAGAUACCCUGGUAGUCCCCU